AGUGAACGCUGGCGGUAGGCCUAACACAUGCAAGUCGAACGGCAGCACAGGAGAGCUUGCUCUCUGGGUGGCGAGUGGCGGACGGGUGAGGAAUACAUCGGAAUCUACUCUGUCGUGGGGGAUAACGUAGGGAAACUUACGCUAAUACCGCAUACGACCUACGGGUGAAAGCAGGGGACCUUCGGGCCUUGCGCGAUUGAAUGAGCCGAUGUCGGAUUGGCUAGUUGGCGGGGUAAAGGCCCACCAAGGCGACGAUCCGUAGCUGGGCUGAGAGGAUGAGCAGCCCGACUGGAACGGAGACACGGUCCAGACUCCUACGGGAGGCAGCAGUGGGGAAUAUUGGACAAUGGGCGCAAGCCUGAUCCAGCCAUACCGCGUGGGUGAAGAAGGCCUUCGGGUUGUAAAGCCCUUUUGUUGGGAAAGAAAUCCAGCUGGCUAAUACCCGGUUGGGAUGACGGUACCCAAAGAAUAAGCACCGGCUAACUUCGUGCCAGCAGCCGCGGUAA
This 506-nucleotide ribosomal RNA is filed under the name uncultured bacterium. RNAcentral describes it as "partial 16S ribosomal RNA". It matches the Rfam family "Bacterial small subunit ribosomal RNA", at positions 29 to 523 of the family's 1533-position model. The record is from RNAcentral.